AAAAUUUGAGAAAUUUGCGCAAAGUUUUACAAAAUUAGCGUUUUAUCGAAUGAUCGCAUCGUUUCUUUCAGCGAUUUCCUGCCAUUUAUCGAGUAACUCUGUAAUUGCCUCGCCGAAGAACGUUUUCCCUUUUUCAGCAAUCGAUUCUUUCGAAUAGCUUUUUCACGCCUCUACGUAUUUGAUUCCUUGCCAUUAAAAAGCUUUUACAGAGAUGAAAUUUUUGGAGAGUAGACGAUAGUCGAGGACGAAUAACGUAGCUAUUUUAUCUUUUUUUUUUCUCUCUUUUAAUUAUUAUUUCAUUAAAGUCGCAUCGCCUACCAUGGUCAUUAGCGACUAUUUGCCAACGACACACGGAGUCGCCCAUCCGUGCUAAUUUGAUAAUUUGAUAAGCAGGAUGGGGGUGAACGUUCCAGUUAAGAUCCAAUAUCUUUCGCUUGUUCUUCAUCGAUGCACAAAGUAACGUUAUCUCGUUGGAAAACGACACCUUUCCCCUUAAUCGAUCCCGAUUUUUUCGUUUAAACGUUUUUACGCUUAAUACUCUACGAAAGAUACUUUAUCGUUGUUUAGUAGAAAUAUAACAUAACGUAACGUAAUAAAUACAUAAUCCUCUUUCAGUCUUAUCGAAUACACGAUAGUACGUAGUAUGUGUACGUAGUAUCGAUAAAGAUGAAAAACGAUACGCAUUUUUCAAACGAUGCAACAUUUCUACGUCUCAUCGAUCGAAUAACCAAUCCGUUCUUGUUUUAUAUUUUUGCCCUAACUUUUUAAUUCGGCGUUUAUUAGCUUCUAUGCUCUUUUUGCUUAGUCGUAGAAUAUACCGAUACCGCUAUCCGGUGGGAAAAAAUCUCGGACGUCCCACGUAAAUGUUCUAUACGCUUGAUUCGGAUUUUUCAAUUUCAACGUGUCACAAGCGUUUAAGUUUUGAUCGCGUUAUUUCCGUAUACCCUUGCCUGUCCCGUAUAACAUCGACACGUUCGAUAAUUUUAUCAAAAUGUUCAAAUAAAAGACCUGCAAUUCCUGGAAUAUACAGCGAAAUAUAAUCGAAAACAGAAUACUCGCUAUAACGAUUACGCGAAGCAACUUUCUGCUUGUUUUUCUAAAAUUAUAAAUAUGCAUAAGUCUCGGUAAACUACAUAGUCGUUAUUCGUUGGAAUAAAUAUCUGCGAGUUAAUACCGUUUUUUUUUCCCUCCAACGUGAUUUACGAUAGUCAGCUUGCCACUUAAGUAGGAAAAAAGCUUCGCGAUAAAUCGAUAAUCGUAUCGAGAAGAAGAAAUUCCACGUAACAACUGCAAAGGGUUGGAAACGAAGUUUCGUUCGAUCGUACGCACGAGUGUCAUCGUAGACAAUUAAACGCGUCCUUUGUUUCAGCGAGAAUCGACGUUACGCGAGCACAUUGGUCACGGAACGUUUGUGAUUUUUCGUUCGUAGCGUUCGUGCCAUUUCAUCCAGACGGAUAAAACUCGUCUACGAGGGUAACGAACGAUUCGGCCCCUGAUUUCUAAGCUCGUACACGAACAACCUAGUAGUUUCUACCUGUUAUGUCGUGCACUUAAUGUUAAGUAACGUCGUAGCAGCGGUAUGCGUCUGUCGUUGAUUAAGGACCGGUUAAUUAUCCCGUUUAAUUACGCGACUAUGCCGAGAAACUUAUUCCUUCCGCUACAUCCUCUCGAAAGUGCAAAUAGCUUCUUGCAUAAUUUAAACGUCGUAGCGUUCGCGACACGGCGGGCGGGGGGCGUGUUUGCCGUAAAAAAGCGGAAUAAAACAUAGAUUUAAUUCGAGUAACCAAAGUUCUUGAUUCUUACGAUGGUCUUUUACGCUUCGAAUUUCGUUUUCGUCGGGUGACUCGUGUACGAACGAAAAAUCCAUGUUCACGCGCCAUGUUCUUAGCAUCGUGGAUAUUGGCUAGAUACGUCGCAUAUAUGUAUUUCCACGCGUUUAAGCGAUGUUUGCCGCUUCUUCUCUUUUCCCCCGUUUUUUUUUCUCCUUGUUUCUUCGACGUUGUGCGUCCUGUUUAAACGUUAAACGUACCGCGUGAAAGUCUCAGACCACGUGCCAAAUCUUUGCUAUACGUUAAACUCGAGAAUCGACGGUCAGUUUGUUAUUGAUCGAGCUUUUAAAAUAUUCGGUGCGACGGUAGCGUCGUUUCCUUUGCGAACACACUCGUGUCUGUUAUUUUUCGUGGCACGCGGAGAGGGUUUGCCAAAAUGCGUUGAAACUAGUAACGUGGAUGGUCUAAGAUUUUUGUGCGACGCUAUAAAC
This is a long non-coding RNA of Bombus impatiens (common eastern bumble bee), 2260 nucleotides long. RefSeq lists it as uncharacterized. Lineage: Eukaryota; Metazoa; Arthropoda; Insecta; Hymenoptera; Apidae. The transcript has 3 exons. The record is from RefSeq and is a predicted model, not a curated record.